UACAGAGGUGGCAAGCGUUGUUCGGAAUUACUGGGCGUAAAGGGCGCGUAGGCGGUUCGUUAAGUCCUGUGUGAAAUCCCCCGGCUCAACUGGGGAACUGCACAGGAAACUAGCGGGCUUGAGUUCGGGAGAGGGAAGCGGAAUUCCGGGUGUAGCGGUGAAAUGCGUAGAUAUCAGGAGGAACACCGGUGGCGAAGGCGCACACCUGGCCCGAUACUGACGCUGAGGCGCGAAAGCUAGGGGAGCAAACGGG
This 253-nucleotide ribosomal RNA is filed under the name uncultured bacterium. Its description in RNAcentral is "partial 16S ribosomal RNA". It matches the Rfam family "Bacterial small subunit ribosomal RNA", at positions 524 to 776 of the family's 1533-position model. The record is from RNAcentral.